AGAUAUCCCAACGGUAAACACGAGCACCAGACCUGACUGGGUGGUUGAGGGAGCUCCUGGUGAAAUGUGCUGAGGCUUCUGCUGAGGUUUCUACCUCAGCUCCACGGCCUGGCCAGGUAGGAAUGCAAUUCACCUUCCUGUCAUGUUUCUGUCCUGGCACUCCAGACAUUCGGGUCAGACAGACCUCACUAUCUCCAAGCUGCAGUGAAUCUGAGAGCCAUGAAAGUUCAAUGGAUUGAAGAAAAUGUUCACGGAAGGAAGAUGAUUAAUUGAUCCAGAGGGCCUGUAGCAACUCUGUUUAACAUGCUAGAUGAGCCAGUCUUAUUCAGUGAUGACUAAGGAUCUAGAGAAAACUGGUGUCAGGUUGGUCUUCUUCUUCCCACCUAUUUUCAGUUGGCCUGCAGUUCCUAGGAUGUGUAUCCUGUAUGCUGGUCACCGGAAGAUAGGCAAAUUUUUGCUUUGUUGCUGGUUCUGGGACAACAGCCAUGCCUGUGAACAGAGAAAACUACACAGACCUCAAUUUAUGCUUUAGGAGACUUCAGUUACGAAAUCAUAUUUAAAGAGAAGAAUCCUGGAGAUAUCAUUGCCUCAGCCUAAAGAAAAGAAUCAACAAAAUAAUGCUCUUGAAGCAGAAGGUGCCAAUGGUGAAACCAGGAGGCAGAGAGUUUCAAAAUCAUAUGUGUGUCACUCUCAUGAAAACAAAAACCAGCUGCAACCACAGAGCUCAGUCAUUUUAAUAAUAUGACUUUAUUAUUCCAAGAAAUUCUUGCCUAGGAAGAUUAAAUUAAGAAUAACUUUAUUCUUAAUUAUUCAGGAAAUAUUCCUUAUUUCUGGAACUUCUGGAAAAUCCUUUUUUUUUUUUCUGAAUAGACCUCUCAGCUAGCCUCAUUAUCCCUUCUCAGUAUGCCAGCUGUCUCAAUGGCUCACCAUACAACUGACUGCUACUCAAGACUCCAUUCAAAAUCUCACCUUGUUUCAUCUGUCUUACAACAUUGUCAUGACCUUUGCCCAAUCCCAACCAAGUACCCUCCCCAUACUUCCACCAGUGAAAGACUCACCUUAAAUCAGACCCCCAGACCUCAUGAAGGUCUUUGCCUGCUCACCCUCCCAGAUGCUAUUGAGACACUGUCAAGGGAAUGGUCUUCCUUAUUCCAGUAAGCAACAAACUUGUCUCAGCUUCGACCACAGUUUACUGAGGGUGAUAUCUUCAGGUAAUCAGCAGCCAAUACACCUAUGUGGUCUCCAGUGAGUGUUAAAAGUUGUGUGUGCAAAAAUGUCACUCAAAACAUGUAGUUUGGAAAUGAGAAUUUUGUUAACUAAAAGGUGCAAUGUUU
Molecule: long non-coding RNA, 1334 nt
Organism: Homo sapiens (human)
Lineage: Eukaryota; Metazoa; Chordata; Mammalia; Primates; Hominidae
Source: Ensembl